AGAGUUUGAUCAUGGCUCAGGACGAACGCUGGCGGCGCGCCUAACACAUGCAAGUCGAACGAGAGAGAGGGAGCUUGCUUCCUUGAUCGAGUGGCGAACGGGUGAGUAACGCGUGAGGAACCUGCCUCAAAGAGGGGGACAACAGUUGGAAACGACUGCUAAUACCGCAUAAGCCCACGACCCGGCAUCGGGAAGAGGGAAAAGGAGCAAUCCGCUUUGAGAUGGCCUCGCGUCCGAUUAGCUAGUUGGUGAGGUAACGGCCCACCAAGGCGACGAUCGGUAGCCGGACUGAGAGGUUGAACGGCCACAUUGGGACUGAGACACGGCCCAGACUCCUACGGGAGGCAGCAGUGGGGAAUAUUGCACAAUGGGGGAAACCCUGAUGCAGCGACGCCGCGUGGAGGAAGAAGGUCUUCGGAUUGUAAACUCCUGUUGUUGAGGAAGAUAAUGACGGUACCCAACAAGGAAGUGACGGCUAACUACGUGCCUGCAGCCGCGGUAAAACGUAGGUCACAAGCGUUGUCCGGAAUUACUGGGUGUAAAGGGAGCGCAGGCGGGCGAUCAAGUUGGAAGUGAAAUCCAUGGGCUCAACCCAUGAACUGCUUUCAAAACUGGUCGUCUUGAGUAGUCCAGAGGUAGGCGGAAUUCCCGGUGUAGCGGUGGAAUGCGUAGAUAUCGGGAGGAACACCAGUGGCGAAGGCGGCCUACUGGGCACCAACUGACGCUGAGGCUCGAAAGUGUGGGUAGCAAACAGGAUUAGAUACCCUGGUAGUCCACACCGUAAACGAUGAUUACUAGGUGUUGGGAGAUUGACCCUCUCAGUGCCGCAGUUAACACAAUAAGUAAUCCACCUGGGGAGUACGACCGCAAGGUUGAAACUCAAAGGAAUUGACGGGGGCCCGCACAAGCAGCGGAGCAUGUGGUUUAAUUCGAAGCAACGCGAAGAACCUUACCUAGACUUGACAUCUCCUGCAUUACCCUUAAUCGGGAAAGUUCCUUCGGGGACAGGAAGACAGGUGGUGCAUGGUUGUCGUCAGCUCGUGUCGUGAGAUGUUGGGUUAAGUCCCGCAACGAGCGCAACCCUUAUUGUUAGUUGCUACCAUUUAGUUGAGCACUCUAGCGAGACUGCCCGGGUUAACCGGGAGGAAGGUGGGGAUGACGUCAAAUCAUCAUGCCCCUUAUGUCUAGGGCUACACACGUGCUACAAUGGCAAGUACAAAGAGAUGCAAUACCGCGAGGUGGAGCAAAACUCAAAAACUUGUCUCAGUUCGGAUUGUAGGCUGAAACUCGCCUACAUGAAGCUGGAGUUGCUAGUAAUCGCGAAUCAGCAUGUCGCGGUGAAUACGUUCCCGGGCCUUGUACACACCGCCCGUCACACCAUGAGAGUUGGCAAUACCCAAAGUGCGUGAUCUAACUCGCAAGAGAGGAAGCGCCCUAAGGUAGGGUCAGCGAUUGGGGUGAAGUCGUAACAAGGUA
Molecule: ribosomal RNA, 1476 nt
Filed under: metagenome
Description: bacterial SSU rRNA
Rfam family: Bacterial small subunit ribosomal RNA
Source: RNAcentral